UACGUAGGGGGCAAACGUUGUCCGGAUUUACUGGGUGUAAAGGGUGCUCAGGUGGUUUUGUAAGUCAGAGGUGAAAUUUCGGGGCUCAACCCCGGAACUGCCUUUGAUACUGCAAAGCUUGUGUACGGAAGAGGCUGAUGGAAUUUCUGGUGUAGCAGUGAAAUGCGUAGAUAUCAGAAAGAACACCAGUGGCGAAAGCGGCUUCCUGGUCCAGCACCGACGUUCAGGCACGAAAGCGUGGGGAGCAAACAGG
Molecule: ribosomal RNA, 253 nt
Filed under: uncultured bacterium
Lineage: Bacteria
Description: partial 16S ribosomal RNA
Rfam family: Bacterial small subunit ribosomal RNA
Source: RNAcentral